RNAcentral lists this ribosomal RNA (450 nucleotides) under uncultured organism. RNAcentral's name for it is "partial 16S ribosomal RNA". It matches the Rfam family "Bacterial small subunit ribosomal RNA", at positions 330 to 797 of the family's 1533-position model. The record is from RNAcentral.
CGUACACUCCUACAGGAGGCAGCAGUGGGGAAUAUUGGACAAUGGGCGCAAGCCUGAUCCAGCCAUGCCGCGUGAGUGAUGAAGGCCCUAGGGUUGUAAAGCUCUUUCACCGGUGAAGAUAAUGACGGUAACCGGAGAAGAAGCCCCGGCUAACUUCGUGCCAGCAGCCGCGGUAAUACGAAGGGGGCUAGCGUUGUUCGGAUUUACUGGGCGUAAAGCGCACGUAGGCGGACUAUUAAGUCAGGGGUGAAAUCCCGGGGCUCAACCCCGGAACUGCCUUUGAUACUGGUAGUCUUGAGUUCGAGAGAGGUGAGUGGAAUUCCGAGUGGAGAGGUGAAAUUCGUAGAUAUUCGGAGGAACACCAGUGGCGAAGGCGGCUCACUGGCUCGAUACUGACGCUGAGGUGCGAAAGCGUGGGGAGCAAACAGGAUUAGAUACCCUUGUAGUCCC